UCGUAACAAGGUUUCCGUAGGUGAACCUGCGGAAGGAUCAUUGUCGAACCCUCGCGGUAGAAUGACUUGCCAACCUGUACCAAUUAUUGAUUCGAGUGUCGGGGUGCUGUCUUUCUGAUUUGCCCAGACGAACAAAAACACCGGCGCAGCAGCGCCAUGGAAUAUAAUAAUGAGUGUGCAACCUUGCAGAGCUCAAUUAUGUUGCCUGUGAGCUCCGCAUCCUUUUAAUAAAAAUGACUCUCGGCAAUGGAUAUCUCGGCUCUUGCAUCGAUGAAGAACGUAGCGAAAUGCGAUACUUGGUGUGAAUUGCAGAAUCCCGUGAACCAUCGAAACUUUGAACGCAAGUUGCGCCUCAAGCCAUUGGGUUGAGGGCACGUCUGCUUGGGUGUCAUGCACUAUAUCUCCCCUCUCGUGUGUGGAGUGGGAAUAGAUCCUGGCCUCCUGGGCCCUUCCUUGGGCGUGGUUGGCCGAAAAUGUUGUCCUUGAUUUUGUUGAUGUCUUGGUGAGCGGUGAUGUGCCAGGGGUGCAUAGUUGCCAGCCUUGCUCGACUUCAUUGUGGCGUUGGGAUCCUAUGAAGCUGCCGUUUUUUGCUCUUUGAUUGCGACCCCAAGUCAGGCGAGACUACCCGCUGAGUUUAAGCAUAUCAAUAAGCGGAGGAAA
RNAcentral lists this ribosomal RNA (660 nucleotides) under Cuscuta campestris. Its description in RNAcentral is "eukaryotic LSU rRNA". The stretch from base 236 to 391 matches the Rfam family "5.8S ribosomal RNA". The record is from RNAcentral. Lineage: Eukaryota; Viridiplantae; Streptophyta; Magnoliopsida; Solanales; Convolvulaceae.